Molecule: long non-coding RNA, 392 nt
Organism: Amblyraja radiata (thorny skate)
Lineage: Eukaryota; Metazoa; Chordata; Chondrichthyes; Rajiformes; Rajidae
Exons: 3
Source: RefSeq, a predicted model, not a curated record
CCUGAAGGCGGUCUCUAACCAGGGACCACGAGCUUCACGACAUUAAAGUCCGCAGCUACCGCAGGUUGGAGCACCAAUGGCCGACCCUUGGCAAAGGAAUCGCCUGCUCCAAGAUGUUAAAGUCCGCAGGCUCCGCGGUUUUGAAGCUCUAGAAGUCCCAAACAAGAGGCCACCAACUCUAUGAUGCUAGACCGCAGCGCGGACAGAGAUACGACACGGAAAAAGUUGCAUCUCCGUCAGGGAAAUAAAAAGUUUCCCCCACCCCCCCUCCCCCCCACAAAUACAAUAACUAAAGAUAAGCUAAAACAUACAUUGUACAACAAACUAAAAACACAAAGAAUGUAAAAGACGAAGACAGACGGUUGGCGAGGCAGUCAUCGUGCAGCGCCCCC